Molecule: ribosomal RNA, 247 nt
Filed under: uncultured Bdellovibrio sp.
Lineage: Bacteria; Pseudomonadati; Bdellovibrionota; Bdellovibrionia; Bdellovibrionales; Pseudobdellovibrionaceae
Description: partial 16S ribosomal RNA
Rfam family: Bacterial small subunit ribosomal RNA
Source: RNAcentral
GUUUUUCGCUCUAAGAUGAGUCCGCGUGAGAUUAGCUAGUUGGUGAGGUAAUGGCUCACCAAGGCAACGAUCUCUAACUGGUCUGAGAGGAUGAUCAGUCACACUGGAACUGAGACACGGUCCAGACUCCUACGGGAGGCAGCAGUAGGGAAUAUUGCACAAUGGAGGAAACUCUGAUGCAGCGACGCCGCGUGAGUGAUGAAGGCCUUAGGGUCGUAAAGCUCUGUCGCAGGGGAAUAAAAAAAUG